GCACAAGAAGUUAACAUAGAUGUUCAUUAAUGAUAUACAAAGUUACAAAGGGAAAGUCAAAUGCGAAAUUACAAAAAGAAAAAGUUAAGGCAUUAUAUGUCUUAAUUACAAUUCGCCCCAUACCGAACGAAUUCUUUCCCUAAGUUUUCCCCAGUCCUCGUUCUGCCGAGAGGAAGUGAUGUUCAAUUCGGCCACAACAUCAUCAUCAACUUCCAACUUCUUGUACUGCUUGACCAAAGAUUUAGUUCGCUCAAUUCCUUGGGAGGCGUUAUGCUUUUUAGCAGCCAUUCUCGUCUUGCAGUCGUCCAUUUUAGCUUGAAGUUCCUUCAUCUGAGCAGCCAAACUAGCCAUCAAAGAGUUUUCAAUCAUGACUUUGGAAGAGAUUUCUUUCAACUCGUCCUCAACUUUGUUAAUCUCAAGAAGCAAAGACUCUUUUUCAGACACGGCGCGAAGAUAUUGAGUACUUUUAGCUUUCAGUUCAACAUUCUUGGCCAGCAAGGAGAGGAUCUCGGAAUGGAUAACUUUCAACGUCGCUUUCAAAUCAGCAGAAAGAUUGAGCGACGGAAGUGUCAGUGCUUGUUCCAACUUCGCAUUCAAAUGCUCAAGCUUAUCCUUAUGUCUGGCAGCACUAGCCUUACCAAUGUCCAUAUCCAUGAAGGACACGUACUCAAAUAUCGACUGCUUGAGGAAUUUCAUAUCUUCCUCUGAAGAAGUAGC
RNAcentral lists this long non-coding RNA (717 nucleotides) under Olea europaea subsp. europaea. The record is from RNAcentral. Lineage: Eukaryota; Viridiplantae; Streptophyta; Magnoliopsida; Lamiales; Oleaceae.